GUAUUUUAACCGUGCGAAGGUAGCGUGAUCACUCGUCUUUUAAAUAGAGACCCGUAUGAAUGGUAAAACGAGGGCUUAGCUGUCUCCCUUUUUCAUGUCAAUGAAAUUGAUCUUCCCGUGCAAAAGCGGGAAUUAUCUCAUAAGACGAGAAGACCCUGUGAAGCUUUAGACAAUAAGAUAGAUCUGGUUAAUAAACCCUAGUAAAGGAUUAAGCUUCUAACUCCUGUCUUAGCGUCUUCGGUUGGGGCGACCACGGGGAGUCACAUAACCCCCGCGUGGACUGGGUGCAAGAGUGUUUUUGUUCCUAAAGCUAAGAGCCUCCGUUCUAAUAAACAGAAUUUCUGACCUUAUAAGAUCCGG
This 360-nucleotide ribosomal RNA is filed under the name Johnius grypotus. Its description in RNAcentral is "partial large subunit ribosomal RNA". It matches the Rfam family "Archaeal large subunit ribosomal RNA", at positions 2013 to 2466 of the family's 2987-position model. Lineage: Eukaryota; Metazoa; Chordata; Actinopteri; Sciaenidae. The record is from RNAcentral.